This 468-nucleotide ribosomal RNA is filed under the name uncultured bacterium. Its description in RNAcentral is "partial 16S ribosomal RNA". It matches the Rfam family "Bacterial small subunit ribosomal RNA", at positions 28 to 507 of the family's 1533-position model. The record is from RNAcentral.
GACGAACGCUGGCGGCGUGCUUAACACAUGCAAGUCGAACGGAAAGGCCCUGCUUUUGUGGGGUGCUCGAGUGGCGAACGGGUGAGUAACACGUGAGUAACCUGCCCUUGACUUUGGGAUAACUUCAGGAAACUGGGGCUAAUACCGGAUAGGAGCUCCUGCUGCAUGGUGGGGGUUGGAAAGUUUCGGCGGUUGGGGAUGGACUCGCGGCUUAUCAGCUUGUUGGUGGGGUAGUGGCUUACCAAGGCUUUGACGGGUAGCCGGCCUGAGAGGUUGACCGGCCACAUUGGGACUGAGAUACGGCCCAGAAGCCUACGGGAGGCAGCAGUGGGGAACAUUGCACAAUGGGCGGAAGCCUGAUGUAGCAACGCCGCGUGCGGGAUGACGGCCUUCGGGUUGUAAACCGCUUUCGCCUGUGACGAAGCGGGAGUGACGGUAAUGGGUAAAGAAGCACCGGCUAACUACGUG